This 253-nucleotide ribosomal RNA is filed under the name uncultured bacterium. RNAcentral's name for it is "partial 16S ribosomal RNA". It matches the Rfam family "Bacterial small subunit ribosomal RNA", at positions 524 to 776 of the family's 1533-position model. The record is from RNAcentral.
UACAGAGGUCCCAAGCGUUGUUCGGAUUCACUGGGCGUAAAGGGUGCGUAGGUGGUCGGGUAAGUCUGAUGUGAAAUCUCCGAGCCUAACCCGGAAACUGCAUCGGAUACUAUUCGGCUGGAGGGUUGGAGGGGGGACUGGAAUACUUGGUGUAGCAGUGAAAUGCGUAGAUAUCAAGUGGAACACCAGUGGCGAAGGCGAGUCCCUGGACAACUCCUGACACUGAGGCACGAAAGCUAGGGGAGCAAACAGG